Small nucleolar RNA from Hucho hucho (huchen), 135 nucleotides. NCBI's taxonomy places the organism in Eukaryota, Metazoa, Chordata, Actinopteri, Salmoniformes, Salmonidae. The record is from Ensembl.
GCCUAGUGGUUCCUAGAGACAGCUGGACUGUGCUGAUCUGUGGGUUUUGAUUGACUGGCAAAUAUUAAUCUCUGCGAUUUAUGCAUGGGAGCUACCACUCCAAGUAACUUCUAUAGCCCGGUUGUUGAGACAUUC